Molecule: ribosomal RNA, 252 nt
Filed under: uncultured bacterium
Lineage: Bacteria
Description: partial 16S ribosomal RNA
Rfam family: Bacterial small subunit ribosomal RNA
Source: RNAcentral
UACGUAGGUGGCGAGCGUUAUCCGGAUUUAUUGGGCGUAAAGCGUGCGCAGGCGGCUUAUUAAGUCUAAGAUUAAAGCCCGGAGCUUAACUCAGGUUCGUCUUAGAAACUGGUAGGCUUGAGUAUGGUAGAGGCAAACGGAAUUCCUAGUGUAACGGUGGAAUGCGUAGAUAUUAGGAGGAACACCAGUGGCGAAGGCGGUUUGCUGGGCCAUUACUGACGCUCAUGCACGAAAGCGUGGGGAGCAAAUAGG